Molecule: ribosomal RNA, 477 nt
Filed under: uncultured bacterium
Lineage: Bacteria
Description: bacterial SSU rRNA
Rfam family: Bacterial small subunit ribosomal RNA
Source: RNAcentral
AGCGAACGUUUGCGGCGGGCCUAACACAUGCAAGUCGAACGCACUAGCAAUAGUGAGUGGCGCACGGGUGCGUAACACGUGGGUAAUCAACCCUUCAGCUUGGGAUAACGACUUGAAAGGGUCGCUAAUACCGGAUACGGCGCGGGAGGCUUCGGCUUCUCACGAGAAAGCCUCGCAAGGGGCACUGAAGGACGAGCCUGCGGCCCAUCAGCUAGUUGGUGAGGUAAGAGCUCACCAAGGCGAAGACGGGUAGCUGGUCUGAGAGGAUGAUCAGCCACACUGGAACUGAGACACGGUCCAGACUCCUACGGGAGGCAGCAGUGGGGAAUAUUGCGCAAUGGGCGAAAGCCUGACGCAGCCACGCCGCGUGAGCGAUGAAGGCCUUCGGUCGUAAGCUCUGUGGGGAGAGACGAAGAAAGCCCGUGAAGAGCGGGCCGUUGACGGUAUCCUACUACGACGAACGACCGACCGGUAACC